UAAUACCGGAUAAUUCUUUCCCUCACAUGAGGRAAAGCUGAAAGAUGGCAUCUCGCUAUCACUUACAGAUGGGCCCGCGGCGCAUUAGCUAGUUGGUGAGGUAACGGCUCACCAAGGCVACGAUGCGUAGCCGACCUGAGAGGGUGAUCGGCCACACUGGGACUGAGACACGGCCCAGACUCCUACGGGAGGCAGCAGUAGGGAAACUUCCGCAAUGGACGAAAGUCUGACGGAGCAACGCCGCGUGAGUGAUGAAGGUUUUCGGAUCGUAAAACUCUGUUGUCAGGGAAGAACAAGUACCGGAGUAACUGCCGGUACCUUGACGGUACCUGACCAGAAAGCCACGGCUAACUACGUGCC
Molecule: ribosomal RNA, 360 nt
Filed under: Cytobacillus firmus
Lineage: Bacteria; Bacillati; Bacillota; Bacilli; Caryophanales; Bacillaceae
Description: bacterial SSU rRNA
Source: RNAcentral